GACCCUGAUGCAGCCAUGCCGCGUGUGUGAAGAAGGCCUUCGGGUUGUAAAGCACUUUCAGUUGUGAGGAAAAGUUAGUAGUUAAUACCUGCUAGCCGUGACGUUAACAACAGAAGAAGCACCGGCUAACUCCGUGCCAGCAGCCGCGGUAAUACGGAGGGUGCGAGCGUUAAUCGGAAUUACUGGGCGUAAAGCGCACGCAGGCGGUUUGUUAAGCUAGAUGUGAAAGCCCCGGGCUCAACCUGGGAUGGUCAUUUAGAACUGGCAGACUAGAGUCUUGGAGAGGGGAGUGGAAUUCCAGGUGUAGCGGUGAAAUGCGUAGAUAUCUGGAGGAACAUCAGUGGCGAAGGCGACUCCCUGGCCAAAGACUGACGCUCAUGUGCGAAAGUGUGGGUAGCGAACAGGAUUAGAUACCCUGGUAGUCCACACCGUAAACGCUGUCUACUAGCUGUGUGUGCCUUUAAGACGUGCGUAGCGAAGCUAACGCGCUAAGUAGACCGCCUGGGGAGUACGGCCGCAAGGUUAAAACUCAAAUG
RNAcentral lists this ribosomal RNA (536 nucleotides) under Alteromonas sp. RNAcentral's name for it is "bacterial SSU rRNA". It matches the Rfam family "Bacterial small subunit ribosomal RNA", at positions 379 to 907 of the family's 1533-position model. Lineage: Bacteria; Pseudomonadati; Pseudomonadota; Gammaproteobacteria; Alteromonadales; Alteromonadaceae. The record is from RNAcentral.